This 693-nucleotide ribosomal RNA is filed under the name uncultured soil bacterium. RNAcentral's name for it is "bacterial SSU rRNA". It matches the Rfam family "Bacterial small subunit ribosomal RNA", at positions 37 to 754 of the family's 1533-position model. The record is from RNAcentral.
UGGCGGCGUGGCUAAGACAUGCAAGUCGAACGGAUGUAGCAAUACAUCAGUGGCGGACGGGUGAGUAAAGUAUCGCUAAUGUGCCCUUGAGCCAGGGAUAGCUGUCCGAAAGGGCAGGUAAUACCUGAUAAAGUGACCUUGUCGCAUGACAGGGGUUCCCAAAGCCGUAAGGCACUCUUGGAGCAGGCGAUAUCGUAUCAGCUAGUUGGUGAGGUAACGGCUCACCAAGGCGAUGACGCGUAGCUGGUCUGAGAGGACGACCAGCCACAUCGGGACUGAGACACUGCCCGGACUCCUACGGGGGGCUGCAGUAACGAAUCUUCCGCAAUGCACGAAAGUGUGACGGAGCGACGCCGCGUGUGGGAUGAAGUCCUUUGGGAUGUAAACCACUGUCAGGGGAAAGAAAGUUCUGAUCUACCCCAGAGGAAGAGGCGGCUAACUCUGUGCCAGCAGCCGCGGUAAUACAGAGGCCUCGAGCGUUAGGCGGAAUCACUGGGCUUAAAGCGUGUGUAGGUGGAUGCCUAAGUACCUUGUGAAAUCCCACGGCUUAACCGUGGAAUGGCUGGGUAUACUGGGUGUCUUGAGCCACUCAGGGGCUACCGGAACAAGCGGUGGAGCGGUGAAAUGCGUAGAUAUCGCUUGGAACGCCUAUGGUGAAAACAGGUAGCUGGGGGUGUGCUGACACUGAGACAC